This 33-nucleotide transfer RNA is filed under the name Artocarpus lacucha. RNAcentral's name for it is "partial tRNA-His". The record is from RNAcentral. Lineage: Eukaryota; Viridiplantae; Streptophyta; Magnoliopsida; Rosales; Moraceae.
UUUAAUUAUAAUAAUAGUAUCGGGGCGGAUGUA